RNAcentral lists this ribosomal RNA (397 nucleotides) under uncultured bacterium. RNAcentral's name for it is "partial 16S ribosomal RNA". It matches the Rfam family "Bacterial small subunit ribosomal RNA", at positions 523 to 918 of the family's 1533-position model. The record is from RNAcentral.
AUACGUAGGGGGCGAGCGUUGUCCGGAAUGAUUGGGCGUAAAGGGCGCGUAGGCGGCGCGGUAAGUCUGGAGUGAAAGUCCUGCUUUCAAGGUGGGAAUUGCUUUGGAUACUGCCGCGCUUGAGUGCAGGAGAGGUUAUCGGAAUUCCCGGUGUAGCGGUGAAAUGCGUAGAGAUCGGGAGGAACACCAGUGGCGAAGGCGGGUAACUGGACUGCAACGGACGCUGAGGCGCGAAAGUGUGGGGAGCAAACAGGAUUAGAUACCCUGGUAGUCCACACUGUAAACGAGGAAUGCUAGGUGUAAGAGGUAUCGACCCCUUUUGUGCCGGAGUUAACACAAUAAGCAUUCCGCCUGGGGAGUACGGCCGCAAGGUUGAAACUCAAAGGAAUUGACGGGG